RNAcentral lists this ribosomal RNA (468 nucleotides) under uncultured bacterium. RNAcentral's name for it is "partial 16S ribosomal RNA". It matches the Rfam family "Bacterial small subunit ribosomal RNA", at positions 28 to 507 of the family's 1533-position model. The record is from RNAcentral.
GACGAACGCUGGCGGCGUGCUUAACACAUGCAAGUCGAGCGGAAAGGCCCUGCUUUUGUGGGGUGCUCGAGUGGCGAACGGGUGAGUAACACGUGAGUAACCUGCCCUUGACUUUGGGAUAACUUCAGGAAACUGGGGCUAAUACCGGAUAGGAGCUCCUGCUGCAUGGUGGGGGUUGGAAAGUUUCGGCGGUUGGGGAUGGACUCGCGGCUUAUCAGCUUGUUGGUGGGGUAGUGGCUUACCAAGGCUUUGACGGGUAGCCGGCCUGAGAGGGUGACCGGCCACAUUGGGACUGAGAUACGGCCCAGACUCCUACGGGCGGCAGCAGGGGGGAAUAUUGCACAAUGGGCGGAAGCCUGAUGCAGCAACGCCGCGUGCGGGAUGACGGCCUUCGGGUUGUAAACCGCUUUCGCCUGUGACGAAGCGUGAGUGACGGUAAUGGGUAAAGAAGCACCGGCUAACUACGUG